Molecule: ribosomal RNA, 1327 nt
Filed under: Microbacterium sp.
Lineage: Bacteria; Bacillati; Actinomycetota; Actinomycetes; Micrococcales; Microbacteriaceae
Description: bacterial SSU rRNA
Rfam family: Bacterial small subunit ribosomal RNA
Source: RNAcentral
AUCAGUGGCGAACGGGUGAGUAACACGUGAGCAACCUGCCCCUGACUCUGGGAUAAGCGCUGGAAACGGCGUCUAAUACUGGAUACGAGUAGCGACCGCAUGGUCAGUUACUGGAAAGAAUUUUGGUUGGGGAUGGGCUCGCGGCCUAUCAGCUUGUUGGUGAGGUAAUGGCUCACCAAGGCGUCGACGGGUAGCCGGCCUGAGAGGGUGACCGGCCACACUGGGACUGAGACACGGCCCAGACUCCUACGGGAGGCAGCAGUGGGGAAUAUUGCACAAUGGGCGCAAGCCUGAUGCAGCAACGCCGCGUGAGGGAUGACGGCCUUCGGGUUGUAAACCUCUUUUAGCAGGGAAGAAGCGAAAGUGACGGUACCUGCAGAAAAAGCACCGGCUAACUACGUGCCAGCAGCCGCGGUAAUACGUAGGGUGCAAGCGUUAUCCGGAAUUAUUGGGCGUAAAGAGCUCGUAGGCGGUUUGUCGCGUCUGCUGUGAAAUCCGGAGGCUCAACCUCCGGCCUGCAGUGGGUACGGGCAGACUAGAGUGCGGUAGGGGAGAUUGGAAUUCCUGGUGUAGCGGUGGAAUGCGCAGAUAUCAGGAGGAACACCGAUGGCGAAGGCAGAUCUCUGGGCCGUAACUGACGCUGAGGAGCGAAAGGGUGGGGAGCAAACAGGCUUAGAUACCCUGGUAGUCCACCCCGUAAACGUUGGGAACUAGUUGUGGGGUCCAUUCCACGGAUUCCGUGACGCAGCUAACGCAUUAAGUUCCCCGCCUGGGGAGUACGGCCGCAAGGCUAAAACUCAAAGGAAUUGACGGGGACCCGCACAAGCGGCGGAGCAUGCGGAUUAAUUCGAUGCAACGCGAAGAACCUUACCAAGGCUUGACAUAUACGAGAACGGGCCAGAAAUGGUCAACUCUUUGGACACUCGUAAACAGGUGGUGCAUGGUUGUCGUCAGCUCGUGUCGUGAGAUGUUGGGUUAAGUCCCGCAACGAGCGCAACCCUCGUUCUAUGUUGCCAGCACGUAAUGGUGGGAACUCAUGGGAUACUGCCGGGGUCAACUCGGAGGAAGGUGGGGAUGACGUCAAAUCAUCAUGCCCCUUAUGUCUUGGGCUUCACGCAUGCUACAAUGGCCGGUACAAAGGGCUGCAAUACCGCGAGGUGGAGCGAAUCCCAAAAAGCCGGUCCCAGUUCGGAUUGAGGUCUGCAACUCGACCUCAUGAAGUCGGAGUCGCUAGUAAUCGCAGAUCAGCAACGCUGCGGUGAAUACGUUCCCGGGUCUUGUACACACCGCCCGUCAAGUCAUGAAAGUCGGUAACACCUGAAGCCGG